CUGGGCAGGAGCCUCCUGCUUCCCAGGUGAAGCUGCAGCCACCCAGCUGUGUGUGCGGACCCGGGCAUUUCUGUGCUCUUGGGGGCCAGGGACAGGCAGGGUCCCCGCCUCCUGGGGUGCAGCUACAGCCGCCCAAGCCAUGGCUACGGACCCAAGCAUCUCUGCACUCUCCGGGCCCGGGAAGCAGCCCCUUGCCCCAGCAGGCUCAGAAGUGCCUGCUCUCACUGCCUGGCCUCUCCCGGCGCCCUCUCCGAUCUCAGAGCAAAGUUGAGGCCAAGCCCAGAUAUUGAAGCUAUAAAGUUCUCUCUUAGCACUGCUUUGCUGUAUCUCACAGAUUUUGGUAGGCUGCAUUUCCAUGCUGAGGGAAUUCAUCACCACUAGACGGGACCUACAAGCAACACUCAAAGGUAUCUUAAACUUGGAAGUGAAAGGUAGAUGUUCACCAUCAUGAAGACACCUGAAAUUAUACAGAUCACUAGUAAAGCAAUUACACAAAGGAAGAGGAGAAAGGAAUCAAGUGGCACCACUUCAAAAUUCUACCAAGACGCAAAAACAGACAGAAAGAAACAAAGAAUUUAUAAAUUUUAAAUAAAAUUUUAGAUUUAUUAAAUC
This 612-nucleotide long non-coding RNA is filed under the name Homo sapiens (human). RNAcentral describes it as "HSALNT0192385". The record is from RNAcentral. Lineage: Eukaryota; Metazoa; Chordata; Mammalia; Primates; Hominidae.